CAAAAGCCAAAAGUUGCGUUAGCGAUAGAAGUGGUAUCCUUUUUUGAAGUGCAACGUAAAAAAAGAUAUAACGUAUAGCGCGACCUGAA
Small RNA from Lutibacter agarilyticus, 89 nucleotides. It matches the Rfam family "Flavo-1 RNA". The record is from Rfam. NCBI's taxonomy places the organism in Bacteria, Pseudomonadati, Bacteroidota, Flavobacteriia, Flavobacteriales, Flavobacteriaceae.